CAAUAGAAUUGAAUUCAAGACUCCUCCAACGAAUGAACUUCCACAAUGCCUUCCGAACUCCACUAUCAGUUUACCUUCUGCUGGAUUCCUCGUGAAACUGGACCUCUCCAGCGGACAGUCUUCAGACGAGCUUCUACAUCAGACAAAUUCCAGACGAACUUCUCUAGCAAUCGGACUCCUGCCGGACUUCUCCAAGAAGAAGUUCCUGUCUGAGCUUCUAUAGUAGAUGACUGCCGACU
RNAcentral lists this long non-coding RNA (239 nucleotides) under Elaeis guineensis (African oil palm). RNAcentral describes it as "long non-coding RNA (EGUI_LNC069835)". The record is from RNAcentral. Lineage: Eukaryota; Viridiplantae; Streptophyta; Magnoliopsida; Arecales; Arecaceae.